GCCCUUUUAGCUCAACGGCAGAGCGUCAAGCUGAAACCUUGACCAUCAUGGUCCGACUCCACGGGAGGGCA
This 71-nucleotide transfer RNA is filed under the name Parascardovia denticolens IPLA 20019. RNAcentral's name for it is "tRNA-OTHER". It matches the Rfam family "tRNA". From Rfam's summary of the family: Transfer RNA (tRNA) molecules are approximately 80 nucleotides in length. Their secondary structure includes four short double-helical elements and three loops (D, anti-codon, and T loops). Further hydrogen bonds mediate the characteristic L-shaped molecular structure. tRNAs have two regions of fundamental functional importance: the anti-codon, which is responsible for specific mRNA codon recognition, and the 3' end, to which the tRNAs corresponding amino acid is attached (by aminoacyl-tRNA synthetases). tRNAs cope with the degeneracy of the genetic code in two manners: having more than one tRNA (with a specific anti-codon) for a particular amino acid; and 'wobble' base-pairing, i.e. permitting non-standard base-pairing at the 3rd anti-codon position. Lineage: Bacteria; Bacillati; Actinomycetota; Actinomycetes; Bifidobacteriales; Bifidobacteriaceae. The record is from RNAcentral.